ACAAGUUCCAGUUAGGGAACAAGCUUGUUUCACAUUGUUGUGAGCUUGGUGAUGCCAUGGGGCUUCAGGGAGUGGCAGCUUCCUCAUUCCCAGAAUGAGAGGAUCUUAUAAAGCAGUACUUAGUCUCUCCCUAGCUGCUUCUUACUCUUCCUCUCCCAUGGUAUGUGAAGGAACUGGUCCUGUGGAACCAUAGCUGUAGCAUCUCUACAACUCAGGGUAACAGCAGGAUGACUGGGAAGAGUUUCCACGAAGGUCCAGUAUUGUUGUGUACCAGAGGCCAAGGGCCUUGAACCAGACCAACAACUCAUUGCAAUGAACAUUUGCAAGUAAAGCUGAAUGAGAGUAUACUAUAUGAUGUACUACUGCAGCUCCCAGUACCACUAAGAGGAAUGAAGAGGUGUUGGAGAGGUG
RNAcentral lists this long non-coding RNA (411 nucleotides) under Cricetulus griseus (Chinese hamster). Its description in RNAcentral is "lncRNA (ENSCGRG00015039599.1)". Lineage: Eukaryota; Metazoa; Chordata; Mammalia; Rodentia; Cricetidae. The record is from RNAcentral.